Molecule: ribosomal RNA, 292 nt
Filed under: uncultured bacterium
Lineage: Bacteria
Description: partial 16S ribosomal RNA
Rfam family: Bacterial small subunit ribosomal RNA
Source: RNAcentral
GUGCCAGCAGCCGCGGUAAGACGAAGGGGGCUAGCGUUGUUCGGAAUUACUGGGCGUAAAGCGCGCGUAGGCGGCUCUUCAAGUCAGGCGUGAAAGCCCCGGGCUUAACCCGGGAAUAGCGCUUGAUACUGUUGGGCUUGAGUCCGGGAGAGGAUAGUGGAAUUCCCAGUGUAGAGGUGAAAUUCGUAGAUAUUGGGAAGAACACCAGUGGCGAAGGCGGCUAUCUGGACCGGAACUGACGCUGAGGCGCGAAAGCGUGGGGAGCAAACAGGAUUAGAUACCCUGGUAGUCC